AGAGUUUGAUCAUGGCUCAGGAUGAACGCUAGCGGCAGGCUUAACACAUGCAAGUCGAACGGCAGCAGGUCCUUCGGGAUGCUGGCGAGUGGCAAACGGGUGAGGAACACGUACGCAACAUGCCCUUUUCUGGGAGAUAGCCCGGAGAAAUCCGGAUUAAUAUCCCAUAGCAUCACAGGCUGGCAUCAGUCAGUGAUUAAAGAAUUUCGGAAAAGGAUUGGCGUGCGUCCCAUUAGGUAGUUGGUUGGGGUAACGGCCCACCAAGCCGACGAUGGGUAGCUGGUGUGAGAGCAUGACCAGCCACACGGGCACUGAGACACGGGCCCGACUCCUACUGGGAGGCAGCAGUGACGGAAUAUUGGUCAAUGGAGGCAACUCUGAACCAGCCACGUCGCGUGAAGGAUGACGGCCCUACGGGUUGUAAACUUCUUUUAUACAGGAAUAAAGUGAGUCACGUGUGACUUUUUGCAUGUACUGUAUGAAUAAGGAUCGGCUAACUCCGUGCCAGCAGCCGCGGUAAUACGGAGGAUCCAAGCGUUAUCCGGAUUUAUUGGGUUUAAAGGGUGCGCAGGCGGAAGAUUAAGUCGGCGGUGAAAUUUUGCAGCUCAACUGUAAAAGUGCCAUCGAUACUGGUUUUCUUGAGUGUGGAUGAAGUAGGCGGAAUUUGUGGUGUAGCGGUGAAAUGCAUAGAUAUCAGGAGGAACUCCGAUUGCGCAGGCAGCUUACUAGGCCGUAACUGACGCUCAGGCACGAAGGCGUGGGGAUCAAACACGGAUUAGAUACCCUGGUAGUCCACGCAGUAAACAUGAUUACUCGCUGUUUGCGAUACACAGUAAGCGGCUUAGCGAAAGCGUUAAGUAAUCCACCUGGGAGUAAUGUUUCCAGAAUGAAACUCAAAGGAAUUGACGGGGCCGCCACAGCGGAGGAACAUGUGGUUAAUUCGAUGAUACGCGAAGAACCUUAC
RNAcentral lists this ribosomal RNA (964 nucleotides) under uncultured bacterium. Its description in RNAcentral is "bacterial SSU rRNA". It matches the Rfam family "Bacterial small subunit ribosomal RNA", at positions 8 to 974 of the family's 1533-position model. The record is from RNAcentral.